AAUUUCUCUGAAAACAACUCUACUGUACUCUCUGCAGACUCAGGGUCUUGGUAAUUCAGCAACUAGACAACGAAGAAUGGAGACACACUGGGAAACUCUGCUGGGGCUCCUGUGGCUCCAGGUUUGCUUGGCGAGAGGGAUGACGGUGGAGCAGAGCCCUUCAGACCUGAGCCUCCAGGAGGGAGACAGCUCUACCCUGAAGUGCAAUUUUUCUAGCACUCCAGACAGUGUGCAGUGGUUCCGACAGCAUCCCGGGGGCGGCGGUCUCACCCGGCUGUUUUACAUAGCUUCAGGGAUGAAGCAGAGUGGAAGAUUAAACUGCACAGUGAAUACUAAGGAACAGUCUAGCACCCUCCACAUCAGGGCCUCCCAACUGGAAGACUCAGCCACCUAUCUGUGUGCGGGGGAGGCACAGUGCUCCCCGGUGAUCUGCAGCCUGCACCCAAACUGCAGCUGUGCCUGCAGCCCUGGCCUCUCCCUGGGGCAGGCAUUUGCUCCCACAGCAGCCUUUGCAUAUUUUUAGAUUUAUGUUACAGCACAUUUUUCUUCCCCAAAUUAGACCCAUUGGGGCUGUCAUUUCAUUUGGUUUUGUUCCUCCUUUUCUUCCCAGAAAGCCUUUUGCUGGUAAGGAGCUCUACCAUGGAACCAUUGGAAUAAGUGAUACAGGUGUCCAUAUCCAAUACCCUCGGAAAACAGAUAUCUUGGCAGCUAGCAUGCAAAUUAUAUGUAAAUUACUCUGAUGGAAAAGGCUGAAAAAGUAGACUUUGUCAACAAAUACAGAUUACUAAAUUUUUUAGUUACCUGUUGAUGUUUCCAUUUUCAAAGGAUAGUAAAGAAAACAUGUGCAGGGUUCUUUCAAGUCUGUAUUCAGAUUUUCUCUCCUGGAAAUGCAAAUAUAAUAAAAUGAUUUUA
Molecule: non-coding RNA, 912 nt
Organism: Mustela lutreola (European mink)
Lineage: Eukaryota; Metazoa; Chordata; Mammalia; Carnivora; Mustelidae
Source: the annotation of a RefSeq genome assembly